GAUGAAGAACGCAGCGAAAUGCGAUAAGUAAUGUGAAUUGCAGAAUUCAGUGAAUCAUCGAAUCUUUGAACGCACAUUGCGCCCGCCAGUAUUCUGGCGGGCAUGCCUGUUCGAGCGUCAUUUCAACCAUCAAGCCCCCGGCUUGUGUUGGGGACCUGCGGCUGCCGCAGGCCCUGAAAAGCAGCGGCGGGCUCGCUGUCACACCGAGCGUAGUAGCAUACAUCUCGCUCUGGGCGUGCUGCGGGUUCCGGCCGUUAAACCACCUUCAUAACCCAAGGUUGACCUCGGAUCAGGUAGGAAGACCCGCUGAACUUAAGCAUAUCAAUAAGCGGAGGA
This 336-nucleotide unclassified non-coding RNA is filed under the name soil metagenome. RNAcentral describes it as "partial contains 5.8S ribosomal RNA, internal transcribed spacer 2, and large subunit ribosomal RNA". The stretch from base 1 to 120 matches the Rfam family "5.8S ribosomal RNA", at positions 35 to 154 of the family's 154-position model. The record is from RNAcentral.